CACCAACCUUGCCCGUCUGCGGCGACGGCGCCGGCGAACUGCCCAAUGGCCUCUCCUCUUGCACGAGCCUCGGCCAUUCCUCGCCGUCAAUCCUCCCUCCCUGGCAUCACAUCUUUCCCCUACUUCCCAUCUCGAGGCGCGCCGCCCCGCCGCUCCUAAUCGCCGGCCUCCGGAGAGGGGGCCCACGAGGAACCUCGUCGCCGUCUGCGGUCUCAUCCCCCCUUAAUCCUCGUCGACUGAGGCCAAGAAUGGCUGAAUGGGGAUAAAUCAUACGAGCGGUUCAGUCAAAAACCACACGAGCCGCAUUCAAGGUCAUGAUCAAGGGUCGACAUCAACAAGUUGAGGAAGGUGCCUGGAAGGAAACCUUGCUUGACCGUCAACUAAGGUCUACGCCCAAGUCCUGCUGGUGCUGGCUGCUUGUUUCAUUUUCCAAGCGACCGGCUUCAACUUGGCCCCGCCAGCUGAGAGAAACAUCAAAGCAGACCAAAUGCCGAAUACACCAAAGGAGUCUACGUCUUCAUCGUCCGGAUGCGGCCAACCUAGCUCGGUCAGAAAAAGACUAUGUCCCCUUUACUAAGAUGCUAUUCUCUCCGUACCAAAAUGUUAUACUCCCUACGUCUCAGUUUACGAGUCCUGCACGUAUACCUAGGUUGUCAAUUUUAUCACCUAAUAUAAACUACAUAACACAAAAAUUAUACCGUUUCAAAAUAGAACAUAUGCCGUUUAUAUUGGUAUGUUUUUUGUAAUAUUUGACUUGUAUCAGGUUGGUUAAAUUGACGACCUAGGAAUAUACGCAUGCCUUGUAAAUUGAGAGAGAGGGAGUACGUUUUUAAAACUAGUUUAGCGUACAAAAACGUGCUAAUUUUUUUUAAAUAAUACAUUUUUUUAUUAAAUUACAGAAAUAUUACGCUGAAAAAGAAUUUUCAAAAAUAAUACACCGUCGGCCCGCUGCAGGCCGACUGAGCCCCGUCAGCCCACAGCAGGCCGACUAGUGGCCC
Triticum aestivum (bread wheat) is the source of this 998-nucleotide long non-coding RNA. RefSeq lists it as uncharacterized. The transcript has 3 exons. NCBI's taxonomy places the organism in Eukaryota, Viridiplantae, Streptophyta, Magnoliopsida, Poales, Poaceae. The record is from RefSeq and is a predicted model, not a curated record.